RNAcentral lists this ribosomal RNA (253 nucleotides) under uncultured bacterium. RNAcentral's name for it is "partial 16S ribosomal RNA". It matches the Rfam family "Bacterial small subunit ribosomal RNA", at positions 524 to 776 of the family's 1533-position model. The record is from RNAcentral.
UACGGGGGGGGCAAGCGUUGUUCGGAAUUACUGGGCGUAAAGGGCUCGUAGGUGGCCAACUAAGUCAGACGUGAAAUCCCUCGGCUUAACCGGGGAACUGCGUCUGAUACUGGACGGCUUGAGUUUGGGAGAGGGACGCGGAAUUCCAGGUGUAGCGGUGAAAUGCGUAGAUAUCUGGAGGAACACCGGUGGCGAAGGCGGCGUCCUGGACCAACACUGACACUGAGGAGCGAAAGCGUGGGGAGCAAACAGG